GCUGCAUAUGAGGUGUGGUUUUAUAAUGUUUUUUUACUCUUCUUUAUGAUCCUUUUCUAUUUACUAUGAGGUGUUUCAUUUGGCCCAUAAAUAAUAAAACAUCCUGUGAAAUUUUGUCUUGUUAAUGAUCGAAAGUAAUCUACUUAGUAAAAACUCUGCUUAGUUGAUGUGCUCCCACGUUUGACAUCUCAUCUUCUGCAGGUUCUUAGUGAUGAAGAUAAG
This 222-nucleotide unclassified non-coding RNA is filed under the name Hevea brasiliensis (rubber tree). The record is from RNAcentral. Lineage: Eukaryota; Viridiplantae; Streptophyta; Magnoliopsida; Malpighiales; Euphorbiaceae.